CCCGCACAAGCGGUGGAGCAUGUGGUUUAAUUCGAAGCAACGCGAAGAACCUUACCAGGUCUUGACAUCCCGAUGCUAUUUCUAGAGAUAGAAAGUUACUUCGGUACAUCGGUGACAGGUGGUGCAUGGUUGUCGUCAGCUCGUGUCGUGAGAUGUUGGGUUAAGUCCCGCAACGAGCGCAACCCUCGACCUUAGUUGCCAGCAUUCAGUUGGGCACUCUAGCGAGACUGCCGGUAAUAAACCGGAGGAAGGUGGGAUGACGUCAAAUCAUCAUGCCCCUUAUGACCUGGGCUACACACGUGCUACAAUGGUUGGUACAACGAGUUGCGAGUCGGUGACGGCGAGCUAAUCUCUUAAAGCCAAUCUCAGUUCGGAUUGUAGGCUGCAACUCGCCUACAUGAAGUCGGAAUCGCUAGUAAUCGCGGAUCAGCACGCCGCGGUGAAUACGUUCCCGGGCCUU
Molecule: ribosomal RNA, 460 nt
Filed under: uncultured Streptococcus sp.
Lineage: Bacteria; Bacillati; Bacillota; Bacilli; Lactobacillales; Streptococcaceae
Description: bacterial SSU rRNA
Rfam family: Bacterial small subunit ribosomal RNA
Source: RNAcentral